CGGACCGGAGUCAGUGUAGGGUCAGUCAGCUGGUGGCGUUAGUGUUGCUCUAGUGUGUGUAGUGGCAGACCUCGCUCCUCCAGGAUUCUCAAGUUCACGCGAAUAAGGAUGGAUUCCGUUGAGGGGAACAUAAAGUUGCUUCUUCAGGGGAAAGAUGUGGAAGAGUCACAGGAGUUCUGCGAUUUCACUCUUGAUAUGCAGAAUGAGGUGACAGCGGCAAAGGGCGUGGCACCGUCAACUCCAUCUGACUACACACCGACACUGCGGGACAAUGUGUGUUACAUCGUGGCGGCGGUGCUGGUCAACGACGAGGGUCAUGUCCUUAUGAUGCAGGAAGCUAAGAGCUCCUGUGCCGGCAAGUGGUACCUUCCUGCCGGGCGUAUGGAAGCUGGAGAGACAAUUGUGGAAGCUGCCAAGAGAGAAGUCUUAGAGGAGACAGGCCUUGAAACAGACAUCACAACCUUGUUAAUGGUGGAAUCUGCAUCAGGGUCAUGGUUCAGAUUUGUUGUUACUGGUACUGUGGUAGGUGGAACUCUCAAGACUCCUGCCUCUGCAGACAAGGAGUCAUUGCAGGCCAAGUGGGUUGAGGAUCUCUCAGAAUUAAGUCUGAGAGGCAACGACAUUUACCCACUGAUCCGACGGGCCAAGCAGUAUUGGGCCAAGGAAGAAGAGCCAUGGCAUCCUGCUCUCCAGCCUAUCAAUAAACCCCAUACAAGACUCCUUCUCAGACUGGUCAUUGCUAUCAGAAAGAAAGCUAACAACCGACUGUGUAUCCUGACCAGUGACAAAACAGCAACUCACCUCCCUGUAACAGAAAUAAACCCUGUGAGGUCCCUCCACUCUACUCUGAGGAAGUACAUGACUGAAAUUUUUGGUUCAGACCUGCCGCCUCACAGACCACAAGGUGUUAUGAAUGUAGAGCUAAAAACUAGUUCUCCAAGCGGUGACCACGAUGGAAUGUGUCUUACGCUACUUGUUCCAAUUCGUAAAGCACUAGAGGAUGUACCCCUCAUUGACAAAUAUUCGUGGGUUGAAGUACCCAAACCUCUCGGGGAGGAUCUGCUGAACCGCAUGGGCAAGAACAUGACUGUGCCUUUGAAUGUCAUACGAGUGUCUACACUUAUCAAUUGAGUUUGGUGCUGCUCUCCCCUCAUCACCAGUUGCUGACGAUCCCAAAGUCCGUUUGCGCUACUGGGAAUCAUGUGCUUAAGUAGAAGUCAAGUAAGGGAGUUGUGAGUGAGUAAGGGAGACAGGUGCAGGUGAUGAGCAACUCUUCAACACCACCUGUCAGGGCACUCUGUACAUACACUUUUGACAGUUGGUUUGGUGGUGCAGGUUUGUCACUUUAUAUACAUAGAGGGACUGUUAUGGGUGCCAGGUUCAUGCAGUCAACUUUGUGGUGCAGGUUUUGUAAUAUAUAUAUAUAUAUAUAU
Molecule: unclassified non-coding RNA, 1433 nt
Filed under: Homarus americanus (American lobster)
Lineage: Eukaryota; Metazoa; Arthropoda; Malacostraca; Decapoda; Nephropidae
Description: 8-oxo-dGDP phosphatase NUDT18-like, transcript variant X1
Source: RNAcentral